Molecule: ribosomal RNA, 292 nt
Filed under: uncultured Acidobacteriota bacterium
Lineage: Bacteria; Pseudomonadati; Acidobacteriota
Description: uncultured Acidobacteria bacterium partial 16S ribosomal RNA
Source: RNAcentral
GGACUACCAGGGUAUCUAAUCCUGUUUGCUACCCACGCUUUCGUGUUUCAGCGUCAGUUGCGGUCCAGAGAGCCGUCUACACCACCGGUAUUCCUCCUGAUAUCUACGCAUUUCACCGCUACACCAGGAAUUCUACUCUCCCAUCCCGCACUCUAGCCCGCCAGUUUUCCGCGCACCCUCCCGGUUGAGCCGGGAGAUUUCACACGGAACUUAACAGGCCGCCUACACACCCUUUACGCCCAGUAACUCCGAACAACGCUUGCUGCCUACGUAUUACCGCGGCUGCUGGCAC